RNAcentral lists this long non-coding RNA (7040 nucleotides) under Sus scrofa (pig). Its description in RNAcentral is "lncRNA (ENSSSCG00060048673.1)". Lineage: Eukaryota; Metazoa; Chordata; Mammalia; Artiodactyla; Suidae. The record is from RNAcentral.
UUGAUUUUCUGAUAUGUUGGAUACUGUUCAUUAUUUUAGACAGAGAACCACCAAAAUGGCUAACUCUCUUUGAUGACCAAAAAUAAGACUCAGUAUUAACAUCAGAAAUCCCCUAUCACUCCUUCAGAGAACUGAAAUGAUGCGAAAUUUUCAUAUUUUUACUCAUUGUGAAGUAUAAGGCUUUUGCAAAAAGAAGAGUGCUUCAGAACACACACACACACACACACACACAACCACAUACAAAGACAAUUAGAUGUUCUCAAAGAAACAACAAACAAUAAAUAAGGAAUUAAUUGCAUCUUUAUCAUUCCAUGUGGUUAAAAUCUCAUUUUACUUUAACGAUUAAUUAGUCUCCUAUAGAAAAUGACUUGUGCUUGAUUCCUGGAAGAAACAAAUAAGAAAUAUCCUGACUUGCGCUACAUCAGGUAAUUUCAAAAGUAUAACUCACCCACGGUCUGAAUAAUGUCACAAUGAGAGGGAAGAAUAUUUACGGCAGCUCCUUCCCCGCAUCAUAAAUUUCAUAGGAACGAGGAAAUUUGUCUCAUACAGAGCAGCGAAUACUGAUGAAAUUUUCGAAGGUAGGAGCUGUCAAUUCUAGUGACAUUAGGAGAUUUCAAAUGUAAUAAAAAAUGAGAAGCACAACUCCUAGAAGAGUCCACAGACAUAUACUUCUCCCUCCCCAUUAGUAUCUAAAAUUAUAUUGAAAGAAUUAAAUAAAAGAAACUGGCAUUCUAAAAGGAGCAAUCCAAGUAUCACUGGGUGUGGGAAAGGUGCGGGGCAGCUUUGCUGUUCCUUCUCAGCCUGUUACUGGAUCUAUGAGCUUCCUUCCUCUCUGUUAGGCACUUAGAAGUAGGUACGGCGAUGGGCAAAUUCAUAGCUGAGAAAGGAGAAUCGCAAGUUGAUCACUCAGAGAACUAAGACCAGAAGGCCCUUCUGCUUGCAUUAAGCUGUAAGCCUUUCUGCAGUGGAGCUUCUGGGAAAAUCUUGAAAAAAGAUUGAAAAAAUCUUGAAAAAAAAAAAGAUACCGUUAUUCUAGGGGGAAGAGAAAUGGUGUCAGCAUUAACCUCAACAGAGUUACGACAUGCAGGUUGUGUCCACAAGCACGAUAAAAAUAACUGCAACAAAGGCAGGCUUAUUUUCGCCCUCUGCGGUUUAGCAUGUGAGGGGGCCGGGGUUUCACGCUGAGCAGCAGGCCCCGGUAGCCCGGAACAACUUCUCCUUCUGCUCAUGGGCAAGUCUCCUCUGUCUAAGGUGACAUAAGGCAUGAAAAGCAGGAAAGAUUUGCUGGGAUUAGGUUUCCUGUGGGUAGCUUUAAAUAAGCAGCCAUUUAAAAGGGAGGCAAGGCAAGCAAAUAGGUAAAUAAUUCACAGGAGUUGAGUCUGACACAUUUUCAGAAGGUAAUAAACUGCAGUAUUGAUGCCUUUAUAAAGAAAUAAUUCAGCUUUGCAUUGUUUAGCUGGGUUGCUCAAGAAAUCUGUGACGAUACUGCCUUGCUUUUGUACAAUUACCUACAGAAGCAGCUGUAAUCACCACUGGAAGGGAAAUGCUCAGAAAGUGUCUUUGAAUUAUAAUUCCCAAAUAAUCACACCAUAAAUAAUUUCUGGAAUUCUAGAUGCUUCCUCUUAUUUUUCUCUUAGCCAUAGCUGUCUUCUGUUCCGUCUUCAGGCUCGGAUAUUUUCUGAGGUUUUCAGCAAAGACUGUGCUUUUAUUUUUUGCUUCCAAGUUUUAGAAGUUCUUCUGAGAGCUUUGUGCCCAGCUGACGUCUUCUCACAGAUAUCCACGGGUUAGCUUCUCUUCUCUUUUUCCUAAAAUCUGCCAGGAGAAAAAAAAAAACCUUCUCUAGCUGAGGAAUGUAAGCCAGAAACAAGAGCACUCCCUGGUGGACAUCCACGGCGAUACCACCUAAAAAGAAACGUGGACCGCUUUUUCUCCAGAGUCUCUCAAUCAAGAAGGGAGGGUUAGGAGAAGAAAGACCAUAUAUAUUAUCGCCUGAACUGGAAUGCCUUUGAGAGUAAGUGGAGGCUUUGGAGAUAAUGCUACCUGAAAAACAGACACAGACCAGGAAUGUUCUGGGCAAACAGAGACCUAAGGCCAUUCUAGGCAUUAAAGUUAAAAAUAGGAGUUCCCACUGUGGCUCAGUGGGUUAAGAACCCGACAUAGUGUCUGUGAGGAUGCGGGUUCGAUCCCUGGCCUCACUCAGUGGGUUAAGGAUCUGGCAUUGCUGCAAGCUGCAGCCGUAGGUCACAGAUGCGGCUCGGAUCCCACGCUGUUGUGGCUGUGGUGUAGGCCAGCAGCUGCAGCUCUGAUUUGACUCCUAGCUUGGGAACCUCCAUAUGCCAUGCGCGUGGCUAUAAAAAGAAAAAAAAAGUUAGAAAUAUUGAAUUUGCCCCUUGGGUAAGUGAAGUGAAACAAGACACAGAAUUUACCAACUUGUGGCAGGGAGAGGAAAGAGAGUCAUAGCUGGCAAAUAAUACCGUCCUCUCCUCAACAGGGCAGGUGUCGUCAUUCUCGCUGCACUCAGAGACUAAAGCAUGUUGCUAAUGGAGAGGAUACAGUGCCCGAGCUCCAAGAUUUUCCAAAAGUCACUGUUUCAGUAACACCUGAAGAUGUAAGAGCUUAAUUUCGACGUAAACGCAUUAAUGAUCCAAAAGGCACAUUAAGGUAUAUCUUUGACUUCACUCUGUAUUUCACUCUGGAAUGUAAAGAGAUACUCAUGUUUCCAGCCAGUUUAUAUCGCAGCAACGCAUUAUUAGCAGGUCUUCUCUAUCUUAAGAAGUUGGUUGCAGAAUGCAUUUCUAGGAACACAGCCGAUAGAGCAGAAUGACCUGAAAAGGUGGAUCCAAGACCAUAGAUAUUUACGAAAUAAAUGAAAUCAUCAGGUUAUGUCUAUAGAACUGACAGGACUUAGUAAUACCACAGCUGGAAUGAAAAAUAUUACAGAAUAAAACAAAAUAAAUGGAAAUAAUCUUUCAUGAGUGCCAAUAAUUUAGAUUUACAGGAUCAUCUACACAAAUUGCAACUUCUAAUGGAUUGCCAAACAUGUGUCUGAGGACUCUCAUUUCCACUGAUGUAGGUUUUAUUAUCAUUUGAAGGGCUAGAAAAUUGGAGUUUUAAAGGCAAAAAUGGGGAUAUAAACAAACGUUUGGAAAAUGAAUCGUGUGCAGAGAUUCAAUAAGCAAACUGUAUCUUGCACAAGAAUUCUUUUUUUUUUUUUACUGUUGUUUAAUUAUUUAAGUUGUGAAAUUUCAUUCUUUCUUCAGUUAAAAGAAAUAUCCCGAGACUGUAAAGGGUAAAUACAGAAAACUGCCAGGCACAUUGUUGAGGGGCAAGUGUUCAAAGGAUGCAGCAGCACUUUCCAAAUCCAAGUACCAUUUUGUGAUUACAAUACCUAUAUUUCACAGAUGUGUGAAAAUACAGCUUAGUUAUACAGGUGAAGUGACCUGGGCAUAGAGACGUUAAUCCAAACUAGGACCAGAACCCUUUAGUCCUGCUUUAGGCUGCCUGCAGCAUUACUGAAUUUCCCACUGCCUUAUAUCACUAGUUGUAAUGCAGCUGGAUAGACUCACAGCUGUAUUCAUACUAAUUCCAUCCUAAUUACGUUUCCAUGAAAUUACACUGCACGGAUUUUAUUGCAAUCAGGAGAUGCCCACUGUCUCCUUAAUGGAAACUAGGGAAAGACUCCAGCUUAGUGGAUCUCAACUGGGGUUAAUUAUGCUCCCUGCAACACGGAACCCUUGGAAAUAUCUGAAGAUAUCUCCAGUUGAUACAACCAGGGGCUGGGGGUGGGGGUGGGUCAGGUGCCAUUGGCAACUAGUGACAAGAGGCCAAGGAGGCUGCCAAACACCCUACAACACACAGAAGAGUCUCCAACAAUAAGGAAUUAUCCAGCCUCAAGUGUCAACAGUGUAACAGUUAAGAAGUCCUGCCCUAGACAUCAGCACUGUAUUGUGAAGUGAUUUCCUGGGCUGGAACCCACCAUUCGAUAACUCACCCGAGCCAAUUUAUGUUGAUGCCUAUGGGCUGUAAAAUCAGAUAUAGUUAUAAUCAGUUUCCUGACUGUGGGGAUAUGCUACAUUUGGAGUUUGGUGCUCUCUAUUCAAAAGGUUGCAACUUCUUUAGAAGGUUCCAGCACAGGAAGGGAGGGAGGAAACCUGAGGGUCCCAGCUACAAAGAAAUGGCAAGCCUUUCAUUCUUUGUACCCGAAGGUGACCUCCAAUGAGUCACACCCUUGUAGAAUCCUACCCUUUUGGCGUGACUCAGACUUAUGACUUGCUUCUAAUUGAUGGAAAUUUGAUGGGAUGCUCUUCUCAUAAUUAUGCUACAUUAUAACAGACUCUGUCUUAGACUGGAGUGAGAAAUUGGCCUUGAAGAAUGGAGCUGCCAUGUUGUGAACUGUCUAUGAAGCGGGCCAUGUAUCUGGGAACUGUGGGAGGCUUGCAGGGCAUGAGGAGAGCCUCCAGCUGACAGCAGUAAGAAGCCAGGAACCUCAGUCCUACAACCACAAGGAAAUGACCUGCCAACAAGCUGAGGGAGCUUGGGAGAGGAUCUUGCCCCAGUUGAGCUUCAGAGGACACUGCAGCUCUGGCUGACCCCAGAAUUGCAGGCUUAUGGGGCCCCAAGCAGAGCACCUAGUUUAGAUGGGCGCGAACAUGACCCACAGAAAUGGUGAGGUAACAAUGUGUGUUGUUUUAAGCUGCUCACAUUGUGGUAAUAUGUUACACAGUACCAGGACGAACUCACCAUGGAAGAGCAGUAUCUGUGAUGCUGAAGAAAAAGUGUGGGAUCAUGUGCUACUCUCGUUUAUUGAUCUGACUUCCUAACGGGGGGGGAGAGGUCUGGUGGUGAUGCUCGGGAUUAGGAUCACUAUAAAACAGCAGCUAAAGGCCAACUGGCUGCAGGGGACCAAAGAGAGCUACAGAGAGAAAAUUCCACCCUGCUUCACCAUCAAAAUUAUAGAAAGACUCCAGAUUUCACCUUCACCUUUUUGUUUUCUCCAAAGUGACCCGAUCGGCCCUAAGUGGGUAGAAACAUGAGAUGCUUUUCCAUGACAAACCGCCAUGUGGUGGCUGGGCAUAGGAAGCCCUGGGGGAGUUUUACCAGGUGGGGAGGGAGAUUUCAAGGAGAUGGAAGACUCCAUUUCCAGCUGCAAAAACCCCACACCCCUCCUCCUGUCCUUAGAAAACCAAGGAACUGCAAACACAUGAACAAAGAGUAGUGUCCAGUUCCAAGAAGAAGAAGACUCAAAUAGGGUUCAGGUAAAAAGAAAAGUGAAUCAAGGAAACUCUGUCCAUGAUACUUCCCGGGGGUGGGGGUGGGGAGGCAUGGAUGCAAGCAGAAUUGUCCCAAUUCAAAGCAUGCAUACACACACACACACACACACACACACACACACACACACACACACAGUAAAAAACCAACCGUGGCAUUUAAACAAGAGUGCUUGUAAUGGAAAGAAUAAAUACUGGAUAGAGAAAGCAAAUGAUGUGGGUAAUCAGGGGAAGAUUUAUUCAAGGAAACAAAAGAGCAUUUUAAGUGACUCAAACUCUGACAGAAAUGAAAGAAAGCAGAGGUUCUGUAAAAUCAUAAGAAAAAAUGAAUUAAUAAAAACAGAAUGAGAAGAAAAAGGUGCUGGCAGAGCUGAGGAAAUAAAUUAAGAAGGAAAACGAUACACCGUGUGACAAAAAGAGAGCUAGAGGCAUGGGUAGCAAGUGCAAUGUUUACUGAGAUAGCAUAAGCGAGGUGACAGAAACUCAUCCAAGGCCAGAGGCAGUGCAGAUGGAAAAGGGUGAACACUGACUUAGGGGAGGAAGAAGGGAUGCAGAAGAAAGGUCUGCUCAGAGAAGCAGGGAGCACAUGAGCACAGAGUCAUUUUGCGGAAUUCGAGCAAAGAGUUUCCAGAUGCAAGCGCAGUCAGGGUCAAGUGCUAGGUGCUAAGGAAAGGUCAUCAGUGAGUAGACAAAGUAGGAGAAAACUUCCUCUCUACAAAGGCAGAAAAAUCAGAGGACCUUCAAUUGCGUUGCCUCGAGGGUCCUUGAUCUCCACGGGCUAUCAAGGGGAAAUCUCAACUUUCCAGAUCAAAAGGAGAAUAGCAGGUGUCUGUGUGAUCAUCUGUAGUCUUCCAUCGGGGCUCUUAGGCUGCUAAGAGCCGCUCUUUCCCAAUCAUCCUUCCUUCUGACAUAUGGACCUUGGUUUAAGGGUAAUUGUGGAGUCUUCUAGAUAAGAUUUCUGUCUUGAUACAGUAAGCUUGCUUAGGAAGCCUGGCAACAGGUUAGGAGACUUCCAUCCCUCCCUUCCUUCCCCCUCCCCCUUUCCCCCUCUCUUACUCUUUCUCUUUCUCUCCCUUUCCCUCUCUCUCUCUCUCUCCCUCUUUCUGUCUCUUUCUCCCUGUCUCUGUCUCUUUCCCUCUUUUUAAGGAUUUAAGGUACAGUUGAUGCUUUCCUCAAUAUUAUCCCAUCUAAGAACUAGGAACCUGCCAAUGGAAAAUGGUACUUGGUGCUACUCUCUACAGGAUAAAGGAGUCAGUGAGGAGGUACCAAAUGCUUUAUUUAUGCAUUUGACAGGCUUUAGCCACCCUCCUACAGAACUGAAAAAUGUUCUUAAAUCUCUGUAUUCCUAAUACAGUGCAGGGAAGAAAGCAGUGAAAAACAUUCCUUGUGGUGAUGUUUUUUUUUUCUUCUAAAAACAAAACAAAACAAAAGGCAAAUGACAGUUUCAAAAAGAACUAUUUUUUAUGAAGCAGAAGGCAGAAGUUGGGGAUAAAGUACUAUUAGCAACUGGAUAGGGGAAGGAGAGAACUUGCCAAGUGGGAAAUGUCUUAUUUUGCAAUUUCAGAUUCAAUCUCCCAGUGCUCUUUGCAACCAAGACCCACGGGAAGCUCAGUUUAGUCCAGGCAAAUUAAUUCUGCAACCACUGUGGUCACUGGCGGUUUUGCUGCUAAUUUGCUGUUUUAGAUAAAGUCUGAAAAGUGACUUGCUACUCUGCAAUUAUCAUUUAGUUCUGGCCAAGAAAGCUAACUUUCCUACAAGGCUGGCCGGCUGGCA